This 795-nucleotide long non-coding RNA is filed under the name Mus spicilegus (steppe mouse). RNAcentral's name for it is "lncRNA (ENSMSIG00000014927.1)". Lineage: Eukaryota; Metazoa; Chordata; Mammalia; Rodentia; Muridae. The record is from RNAcentral.
CUGGCCUGACCCUCUCAGAGACACUUAGAAAGUGAAAGCCCUCUGCUGAUAGCAUAUCAAGAAAUCUCGCCUUGGAGAAGAGGGAUUGCCGGAGGCACAUGGCCAGUCACCAUGGUACCUGCCAUGGUAGAAGAAAUCCCCACAUGUAGAAGCGUCUUUAAAAAUCUGGUGUUCCAGCAGAAGACGGAGGAUGGGUGAAGAAGCAGUUGUUGGGGAGUUGCUUUGAACCUCUGAGGUUGGCCCAGGAGGAGGAAGUACACCUGCUAAUAGAAUCAUCACAAAAGGAGCAGACGAAGAAGCCGGACCCAAGGACAUCAAUGGAACCCCAGAGCCCUUCCCUGCACCAUUUUGCAGGGCUUCUGGUUAAACAUUCCAUUUUGAUUAGAAUGGAAAGACUCGGCACAUCUGAACACCCCCAACCCCCGAAGCUCCUGCCGCCUCUCCUGGAUCCAUGCAGAGAACAAGAGGAAGUCUGGAGUCCUAGGAAGUAGCCUGCCAUAGCAAGGCAACAUCUCGGCGCCUGAUCCGCUGUGAUUUGAUCUGCCACGCCACCUCGGAGACAGACGGAGCAACCCUUCAUUCCGGUCACACUCGCAGCACUUUGCUGGGUCAGCCGCUGUGACUCAGUGCUGCGCCCCAGACCGGGCUGGCGCACGUGGCUGUGCACACGCGCCCUGCCUUCCAGGAGGCGCAGCCACCGCGAGAGGCCUCCCGGGGCCCAGGCCAGGGGCGCCGGUGCCUACUCAUUAAUUAUUAAAGGAGGGCGGUUUUAUCUUGUCCGCUGGCAGAAUCGAG